CAAUGGUUUCCUCUGUAGCUGCACUGGGAGCUGCAGAUGUUGAAAUCAGGCCGAAGAGGUGUUUCUGACGGAGCAAACGCACAACCGCUGUCCGGAAAUUUCAGCUGCAAACACAAGAAAAAGCGAGACACAAAGCCAUGUGGUUUGUUGGGUCUCUUGGGGAGGGCUAGAAGACUUUAUGUGAGGCUGGAUGUUGAUGGUGUAUGGAGCAUCCUCCCGUCUCUGUCCCUCAGUCACGUGACCUCCAGACGUCUGGGUCUGAUAAAUCCCACUAAAUCAGAUGUCCUGCUCCUUCUGCAGUACAAAUAUGACAUCAUCAAAGAGCGACUUUAUAGAGAGAUGCUGCAGGAGGAACACGG
Molecule: long non-coding RNA, 359 nt
Organism: Ictalurus punctatus (channel catfish)
Lineage: Eukaryota; Metazoa; Chordata; Actinopteri; Siluriformes; Ictaluridae
Source: Ensembl